Carassius auratus (goldfish) is the source of this 2255-nucleotide long non-coding RNA. Lineage: Eukaryota; Metazoa; Chordata; Actinopteri; Cypriniformes; Cyprinidae. The record is from Ensembl.
GGCAGUGUGUGUAUAAAUCUCAAACUUUUUGCUUUAAAUUGCAGACAUGUCAAGUUCUUUCUCCUCGGUGGCAGAAAAGAGAGAGACUUUAGCGAAAGGUGAAACAGAGCUUCAACCGGAUGGACAAUAAUUUAAGAUGAACCUUUCCAAACACUGCUAAAAACAUUCAUUUUCACAAACACGUGUGACAUGACACGUUUACAAACCUAAUCUGUGUAAAAGAUGACUGUCCCCAUUAUUCCUUGGGAAAAGACAAUACACAGUAUACUUCACUGAAAUAAACAAACUCAGUCAAACUGAAUCAAGUAGGUUUAUUUCUGCAGCACCAUUUCAUACUGAAUGUAUGUCAAAAUGAUUGCUUGUUUCUGCCAGUUUGAGUUGGUUUCUGUCUGGUCCAAGCUGGCACAGAUCUUUGAUCCACUGGACUCCAAAACCUGGCAUGACCACCCUAAGCUCGUAUGACCUGGGUUUUCCAAGCAGGAAUUGCUGAUGUGAUUUUUUUACGUUAAAGAUGUAGUCCCCCUCGCGCAGCUCUGUAACUGGCCUCACUGGGCUCAUUGUGGAGCUGCUCCAUGGGGUUCACCUUAACUGAGUGGUGUUCUCCAAUCAUUAUUCACAAACACAACCCACAAAGUCAUAUAUUACUCAUAUUUACCCCUUUAACAUUACUGUAGAUCCAGUGGAGACAGACCAGCGUUCUCAGACACCCACACUUCCUGCCAGUAUACAGGCUUUCCUCAUCAGGGGCAGUGCACGCUGUGUUUGUGCACAUGUGCGUGAGUGUACGAGCGGCACAUCUUCUUCCAGGUCAUGCAAAACUAGAAGAGAAAAAAGAAGAGAAAGCAAGCAAGAAUAUUAUGAGGUAAAAUGUUUAUUUAGUGACACAUUGUUUAAUCGAUUAAUUCAACAGACAUAGAUUAUUUACAAUUGCUCUUUACCUAAUUAAAAGAAUAACUGUGUGUGUGUGUUAUAGAAUAUUAUUUUCCCUUCUAUUCCAUCACCCCUCUGUACAGAAGGAGAGCAGAUCUUUCUCUCUCUCUCUCUCUCUCUCUCUCUCUGUCUCUCUCUCUGUCUCUCUCUCUCUCUCUCUCUGGGGUCUGUAUGGAGCAAUCCGAAUCACUCCAGUGUCUUGCUUUGCCCAGUGUGCCUUUGUGGGAAUAACAUAAUCAAAAGUGGGUUUGUAUUGGGGGAAAAACAAUUGUGUUAGUGUCUCUUUAGCCAUAUAAUUAUAUGUCCAUUCAGUGGGGUGAAGGAAACACUGUGUGUGUGUGUGUGUUUAGAUUCCCAGGGUGAUCGCUUGAGGCUGCUGUAUUCAGAAUUUCCAAGUAAGAGCUGCCAAAAGUUAACAAGACAUUUACCAUACAUCAUACCACACGCUCCCUAACCAACACACAUUACACUCUCAGAGAGAGAGAGACUGGAACACCCUUCUUUACGAAUAUCUAUCUAUCUAUCUAUCUAUCUAUCUAUCUAUCUAUCUAUCUAUCUAUCUAUCUAUCUAUCUAUCUAUCUAUCUAUCUAUCUAUCUAUCUAUCUAUCUAUCUAUCUAUCUAUCUAUCUAUCUGUCUGUCUAAAUGAUAGAUGACCAAUCUGCUUUUUUAGUUGUAAAUCUUCUCAUUGUCAGCAUAGUUCCACUCUCAGCUGUUUCCUGACUGUGAUUAUGACCUUUGACCUUCUCCAUUGAUAUUCCGUUGAAGGGUUUAAACUCACUGAGAGAACAUGAUGUUUUUUAGUGAGUUUUAGCAGCACAGAAGUCUCGAGGGUAAUUGUUACUGAAGGAGCAUCUGAGCUGAAUGUUAUGGAGGAUCUGUGUUCUCUGAGUCACAGACAUUCCUCCAAACAGCAUGUGCUCUCGGUUUAUCUGACCGCCGUCUUGAGAUGUUGCUGUUGUGAAGCAGAUGCUCUGGAAUAUUUCUGCAGGGACUGAUUUGUCAUUCAUCCACUGAUCUGGAGAAAUGACACAGAAAAGGAGGAUUUUAGGACGAUCUGAAUUUGUUUAAUCGUUCAAAAAGAAUGAACUUCUUUCACGGUGGGUUUGAUAUUGAUUGAGGAGGUUAAUGUCAUGAUGUCCUGCAGCUUUACAGUAGCUCAGUAAUGCUGAAGACACCGUGUGCCCAAAAUACACAGAUAAAGUGGCUCCAGGAAGUAUUUGGUCAGUUUUGAAAAUCAAUAUAGUGUUCUGUUAUCAUGUAGAAGUGAAACUGCUGAAUUGAGGAGAGAUGGUUAUAUUCCUCUUACUGUAUAUGGUGGGUUUG